RNAcentral lists this ribosomal RNA (406 nucleotides) under uncultured bacterium. Its description in RNAcentral is "partial 16S ribosomal RNA". It matches the Rfam family "Bacterial small subunit ribosomal RNA", at positions 29 to 526 of the family's 1533-position model. The record is from RNAcentral.
AUUGAACGCUGGCGGCAGGCCUAACACAUGCAAGUCGAGCGAGCGGCGGACGGGUGAGUAAUGUCUGGGAAACUGCCUGAUGGAGGGGGAUAACUACUGGAAACGGUAGCUAAUACCGCAUACCAUCAGAUGUGCCCAGGUGGGAUUAGCUAGUAGGUGGGGUAACGGCUCACCUAGGCGACGAUCCCUAGCUGGUCUGAGAGGAUGACCAGGAACAUGGGAACUGAGACAAGGCCCAGACUCCUACGGGAGGCAGCAGUGGGGAAGAUUGGACAAUGGGCGCAAGCCUGAUGCAGCCAUGCCGGGUGUGUGAAGAAGGCGUUAGGGUUGUAAAGCAAUUUCAGCGGGGAGGCGUUACCCGCAGAAGAAGCACCGGCUAACUCCGUGCCAGCAGCCGCGGUAAUUC